RNAcentral lists this ribosomal RNA (463 nucleotides) under uncultured bacterium. RNAcentral describes it as "bacterial SSU rRNA". It matches the Rfam family "Bacterial small subunit ribosomal RNA", at positions 33 to 507 of the family's 1533-position model. The record is from RNAcentral.
GACGACGCUGGCGGCGUGCUUAAAACAUGCAAGUCGAACGGACUUCUCAUGAAGCUUGCGAUUGAGAAGUUAGUGGCGACGGGUGAGUAACGCGUGGGCAACCUGCCCCUGAGCCCGGGAUAACAGUUCGAAAGGACUGCUAAGACCGGAUAUACUUGCGGGGAAGCAUUUCUCUGUAAGGAAAGGGAACGCUCAGGGAUGGGCCCGCGUCCCAUUAGCUAGUUGGUGAGGUAACGGCCCACCAAGGCGACGAUGGGUAGCCGGCCUGAGAGGGUGAACGGCCACACUGGGACUGAGACACGGCCCAGACUCCUACGGGAGGCAGCAGUUGGGAAUCUUCGGCAAUGGGCGCAAGCCUGACCGAGCAACGCCGCGUGAGUGAUGAAGGUUUUCGGAUUGUAAAGCUCUGUCUUCCGGGACGAUAAUGACGGUACCGGAGGAGGAAGCCACGGCUAACUACGUG